UACGUAGGGGGCAAGCGUUAUCCGGAUUUACUGGGUGUAAAGGGAGCGUAGACGGCGGUGCAAGCCAGAUGUGAAAGCCCGGGGCUCAACCCCGGGACUGCAUUUGGAACUGUGCUGCUAGAGUGUCGGAGAGGCAGGCGGAAUUCCUAAUGUAGCGGUGAAAUGCGUAGAUAUUAGGAGGAACACCAGUGGCGAAGGCGGCCUGCUGGACGAUGACUGACGUUGAGGCUCGAAAGCGUGGGGAGCAAACAGG
This 253-nucleotide ribosomal RNA is filed under the name uncultured bacterium. RNAcentral describes it as "partial 16S ribosomal RNA". It matches the Rfam family "Bacterial small subunit ribosomal RNA", at positions 524 to 776 of the family's 1533-position model. The record is from RNAcentral.